Oryctolagus cuniculus (rabbit) is the source of this 107-nucleotide small nuclear RNA. NCBI's taxonomy places the organism in Eukaryota, Metazoa, Chordata, Mammalia, Lagomorpha, Leporidae. The record is from Ensembl.
GUGCUCACUUUGGCGCCACAUAUAGUAAAACUGGAAUGAUAAAGAGAAGAUUAGCAAGGCCCCUGUACAAGCACAACGUGUACAUCUGUGAAACACUCCAUAUUUUU